Molecule: ribosomal RNA, 198 nt
Filed under: uncultured bacterium
Lineage: Bacteria
Description: partial 16S ribosomal RNA
Rfam family: Bacterial small subunit ribosomal RNA
Source: RNAcentral
ACGCUCGACACCUACGGGAGGCAGCAGUGGGGAAUAUUGCACAAUGGGGGAAACCCUGAUGCAGCGACGCCGCGUGGAGGAAGAAGGUCUUCGGAUUGUAAACUCCUGUUGUUGGGGAAAAAGAGGAUGGUACCCAACAAGGAAGUGACGGCUAACUACGUGCUAGCAACCGCGGUAAUCUGAGCGGGCUGGCAAGGC